This 1834-nucleotide long non-coding RNA is filed under the name Homo sapiens (human). Its description in RNAcentral is "HSALNT0388838". Lineage: Eukaryota; Metazoa; Chordata; Mammalia; Primates; Hominidae. The record is from RNAcentral.
CCGAGGGCCGCCGAGCGCAAGAGAAAAUCAUAUAAUGAAGGUGGAUGUAUCCAUUACCCAGCUUCCAUAUCAACUCAGGACAAGUCUUGUUUCAACCAUACUCCCUCAUCUACUGUGUGUGUCUGUAAAAGAUAAGAACUAUUUUCAAAAAGUAGCCACAAUACCAUUAUCAUACCUAAAAAAACAAUAAUUCUUUAAUAUCAUUAAAUGCCCAGUGAGUGAUUUCCAGUUAUCUCCUAAAAACAGAAAUUAUUUUUGUAAUAAGAAAAAAAAGGCUGAAAAAGAUAAAAUUGUCAAUCCAAAGAGCAGAUUAGUACAAGUUUCCUGGAGCUUUGUUUAGUGAUACUUAUCAAGAGCCUUAACAAUGUGCUUACCUUUUGCCCUAGUAAUCCCAACCUGUGAAUUUAUUCUAAGAAGAAAAAAGAACAUUGAAGAGGUAUACAAACAUUGUUCACUAGAGUGUGCAGUGUCUGUUACAGAGAAGUUGUUUGAAAACUAUUUGUUGAGGCCAGAUGUGGUGGCUUACAUCUGUAAUACUAGUACUUUGGGAGACUGAGGCAGGAGGAUUGCUUGAGGCCAGGAGUUCCAGACCAGCCUGAGCAACAUAGCAAUACCCCAUCUCUACAAAAACAUUUUUUAAAAAUUAGCCAGGCAUGGUGGCUCAUGCCCAUAAUUCUAACUACUUGGGAGGCCAAGACAGGAGGGUUGCUUGAACCUAGGAUUUCAAGGCUAUAGUGAGCUGUGAUCACAUCACUAAAACUCCAGCCUGGAUGACAGAGCAAGACCCUAUCUCAAAAGAAAAAAAAACAAACCACAAUUUUUUUUGAAUUUGAAGUUGAGCUCCUGCUGUGGUUUGCAGCUUUGUUUGUAAAAGAAAAGCUGAAAGUCAUGGAAGUGUGUGACAUUAGGGUACUGGCUAAAUAAAUGAGGGCAGAUCCAUAAAAUGAAACAUUGUUCUGUCAUGUAAAAUCAGAUUCUAAUAAUACACAUAGAUAACCACCGCUUCCAAGAGGCAGAACUUCAUCCUCAUCCUCUAAUGGACUAUGGAAAGAAGAAAAACAGUCCUUUUACAGUGAAGAAACUCAGCAGAUGCUCCCUCAACAUCGCUGGUGGUAAGUCUUGUGGCUACUGGGUACCCCCUGAUACAAUGACAGGGGCACCUCACCUCUGUGAUCUUUUACCCAAAAACUAAUAACCUCAGUCUCAUGAGAAAAACAUCAGACAAACUCAGAUGAGGGGCAUUCUACAAAAUACGUGAGCAGCACUCUUCGAAUGUGUCAAGGUCGUGAAAAACAAGAAAAGACUCAGAACUGUUAGGGACCAGAGGAGCCUCAGGAGAUGACGGAGACUGAAUGCCAUGUGGGAUGCCGGAUGAGAUCAUGGAACAGAAAAAGGGCAUUAGUGGGAAACUGGCGAAAUCCUAAUAGAGUCUGUCGUCCAGCUAAUAAUGUUUUACUAAUGUUAACUUUUUAGUUUUGACAAAUGUAGCAUGAUUAUGUAAGAUGUUCACAUUAGGGGAAGGUGGGGGAAGAGUAUGGGAACUUUGUGGAACUUUGCUGUAAAUCUAAAAUCACUAAACAAAAAUUAUUCAAAAAAUCAGGGUGUAGAUAUUUAUUAGUAUAGAAAUGUAUUCACAACAUAUUAAGGGGAAAGUAUGUAUGGCCUCACAUAGUUUUUGCUGAAUGAGACCGUAUUUGUAAAAACUCUAAUAACAAGGUGUAUGUCUACAUGAAUGUGUAUAUAUGCACAUGUAGGCUGGGCACGGUGGCUCAUGCCUGUAAUCCCAGCACUUUGGGAGGCCAGGGUGGGCGGAUCACCUGAGGUUAGGAGUUCG